CCUUCUACUGAUAAAACAACACUACCACCUUCAGAGUUGGUCGAUCAAUAAAAAGUGAGGAAAGUUGUGAUGUGUGGCAAUUCGAUUGGAUAGGAAGAUUGUGAGUAAUUGAUUGGAAGCAUCUUAAAAUUAAGGUUAGUAAGAUGGUGGAGACGGAAGCAGCUGUGGCGGGUUGGCUGCAAUAUGUUGAAAUAGCUAGCUAUUAUAUUUAAAAAAAAUAUGUCAUAUAUUUUGAGUAUGUAAAAUGCUAGUUAAAGAUUAUGUAUAUGAUAUUAUUAUUAUGCAAUAAUUUAUUUAUCGCUCGAUGGAGAGUGCAUGUAGUCGGCCCCUCUUGGACGCUUGACCAAAGCCCUCAUGAUCAUGUUGUGCUAUGCCAAUUUCAUGAGUGAGCUGGUCGGUCAACUCCUUUUGGCGAGCUAGACUCGGUUACCCCAUCAUUUACCGCUUUAUUAAAAUUGUAAUUAAAUGUCCGACUGCUUAGCCGCACGUAUUUGUAGACUGGUUCUAAACCACCAGCGUGCUGAGCCAAGCUUUCCGACUUGAAUAUUAAAUAUGUUAUAAUACUUAGUUUAAUUAUCUAACAACGAUUACUAUACAUUAAUAUUCUU
Molecule: long non-coding RNA, 608 nt
Organism: Salvia miltiorrhiza (redroot sage)
Lineage: Eukaryota; Viridiplantae; Streptophyta; Magnoliopsida; Lamiales; Lamiaceae
Exons: 2
Source: RefSeq, a predicted model, not a curated record